GAAAUGGGGAGGCUGUGCUGUACCUCCUGGAGGGUGCCUUAGGGCCCUGCAUUCCAGUUAGAGACUUUCAGUGAUGGAGUCCCUGCGUCUCCCUGAGCCUAGUGCUCAUGUUUAGUUACAGUGUUCUAAAAGGAGUCUUUUAAGACACCAAGUUCCAUGUUGUUCGACUUUUAGAAUUCUGCAUUUUGUUGUUCUACAUUCAGAACUACUGCUGUACGUUUGAAAUCAUCAAUCAUAGUCAUUCCUCCGUUGAUGAGAGAGGCUGGUGUCUUGGAAGGCUUUGGGCUGGAGGCCUGCGGCCUGUUGGCUGUGCAACCUUAAGCAAGUCACAUAACUGCAUUUUCCUUUUCUUAACCAUCACUGUGAAGGGUGAGGCAGAAGACGUGGUCAUGGAGAGAGUAUCCACAUGUACCUGGCAUUGUGGGAGCUUAAUUCAUUUCACCAAGUAUAUCUCACCUCAUCUUCAUAAUAUGUCUGUGAGGCAUGGAGUUACUGCCAUUUUGCAGAUGCGUGGAGAAUACGGCUUUGUGUAUCCUGUGAGACUUACGUCCACCAGUCAAGUUCUCUGCCGUUAACCCAGUGUCGAGUGCGUGCCAGGCAUUAAAGACUAUUCCAACUGGCCCACCAUCCCGCAGGUGUACCUCAACGGCGAGUUCGUGGGGGGCUGUGACAUCCUUCUGCAGAUGCACCAGAACGGGGACCUGGUGGAAGAACUGAGAAAGCUGGGCAUCCGCUCCGCCCUUUUAGAUGAGAAGAAAGACCAAGACUCCAAGUGAGGGCGGCGCGGGUCGCCCUGAGCUCGACGCUCGGGAGCCCUGGGCUCAGAGACUCACUGCCAGAGAAGCCUUAGCGAUUUGGGUUUCACUGUCCCGACGGCUGCCUGCGCCGAUGCCUGCGGCGUGAGCGGUCGGCGAUCUCAGUGUGUCUGCUGUCGGGCUGAGAAUAUUCCAUUGUGAACUGAAUUAUAAGCACUGCGCUGUAGUAACUCAAUGUUGUAUCAUGAUCUUGCUAUAAACAAAAUUUGUUCUUAUAGUGUCCUUUGCUCUUUGCCUGAUUCAGGAGUAAAACUAGGAGCUUUUGAAUCAUCAUUAUUCACGAGUCCUCUGCGAAUGUGUCGGUCUGCAAAGAUGAUAUAUCCACCCAAGUUUUUUAUAACUUGUUCUGUUAAGAAAAAUGAUGGACAAAGAAGAAAAUGUGAUAACUGGGUAUUGUUUUUUAAAAUAAACUGCCAACCCAGGGA
RNAcentral lists this long non-coding RNA (1240 nucleotides) under Equus caballus (horse). RNAcentral's name for it is "lncRNA (ENSECAG00000056195.1)". Lineage: Eukaryota; Metazoa; Chordata; Mammalia; Perissodactyla; Equidae. The record is from RNAcentral.